Molecule: ribosomal RNA, 461 nt
Filed under: Streptococcus mitis
Lineage: Bacteria; Bacillati; Bacillota; Bacilli; Lactobacillales; Streptococcaceae
Description: bacterial SSU rRNA
Rfam family: Bacterial small subunit ribosomal RNA
Source: RNAcentral
GACGAACGCGGCGGCGUGCCUAAUACAUGCAAGUAGAACGCUGAAGGAGGAGCUUGCUUCUCUGGAUGAGUUGCGAACGGGUGAGUAACGCGUAGGUAACCUGCCUGGUAGCGGGGGAUAACUAUUGGAAACGAUAGCUAAUACCGCAUAAGAGUAGAUGUUGCAUGACAUUUGCUUAAAAGGUGCAAUUGCAUCACUACCAGAUGGACCUGCGUUGUAUUAGCUAGUUGGUGAGGUAACGGCUCACCAAGGCAACGAUACAUAGCCGACCUGAGAGGGUGAUCGGCCACACUGGGACUGAGACACGGCCCAGACUCCUACGGGAGGCAGCAGUAGGGAAUCUUCGGCAAUGGACGGAAGUCUGACCGAGCAACGCCGCGUGAGUGAAGAAGGUUUUCGGAUCGUAAAGCUCUGUUGUAAGAGAAGAACGAGUGUGAGAGUGGAAAGUUCACACUGUGACG